GAUGAACGCUGGCGGCGUGCCUAAUACAUGCAAGUCGAGCGAACAGACGAGGAGCUUGCUCCUCUGACGUUAGCGGCGGACGGGUGAGUAACACGUGGAUAACCUACCUAUAAGACUGGGAUAACUUCGGGAAACCGGAGCUAAUACCGCAUAACAUGUUGAACCGCAUGGUUCAACAGUGAAAGACGGUCUUGCUGUCACUUAUAGAUGGAUCCGCGCCGCAUUAGCUAGUUGGUAAGGUAACGGCUUACCAAGGCAACGAUGCGUAGCCGACCUGAGAGGGUGAUCGGCCACACUGGAACUGAGACACGGUCCAGACUCCUACGGGAGGCAGCAGUAGGGAAUCUUCCGCAAUGGGCGAAAGCCUGACGGAGCAACGCCGCGUGAGUGAAGAAGGUCUUCGGAUCGUAAAACUCUGUUAUUAGGGAAGAACAAAUGUGUAAGUAACUAUGCACGUCUUGACGGUACCUAAUCAGAAAGCCACGGCUAACUACGUG
RNAcentral lists this ribosomal RNA (497 nucleotides) under uncultured bacterium. Its description in RNAcentral is "partial 16S ribosomal RNA". It matches the Rfam family "Bacterial small subunit ribosomal RNA", at positions 28 to 507 of the family's 1533-position model. The record is from RNAcentral.